Molecule: unclassified non-coding RNA, 272 nt
Filed under: plant metagenome
Description: partial contains small subunit ribosomal RNA, internal transcribed spacer 1, and 5.8S ribosomal RNA
Source: RNAcentral
UUUCCGUAGGUGAACCUGCGGAAGGAUGAUUAAUGAGUUGUCAUGGGGUUCGAUGCUGGCAGCCAGUUUUUGGAUGCAUGUGCUUGCCCUAACAAUCAUCUUCUUCCAAACACCUGUGCACAUUUUUGAGGGAGUCUUGAGUUGGUUGCCGCUCUUGGGUGAUUUUCUCACAUUCCCUUAAAUCAUUAUACGCUAUUAACAAUGUUGAACGUGCUCUGUGCCGCAAGGCCAUUAAUAUAAUACAACUUUUAACAACGGAUCUCUUGGCUCUC